UACAGAGGGUGCAAGCGUUGUUCGGAAUUAUUGGGCGUAAAGCGCGUGUAGGCGGCUUAGCAAGUCUGGCGUGAAAGCCCUCGGCUCAACCGAGGAAGUGCACCCGAAACUGCUGAGCUUGAGUGCCGGAGAGGAUGGCGGAAUUCCCCAAGUAGAGGUGAAAUUCGUAGAUAUGGGGAGGAACACCGAUGGCGAAGGCAGCCUUCUGGGCCAACACUGACGCUCAUGCACGAAAGCGUGGGGAGCAAACAGG
RNAcentral lists this ribosomal RNA (253 nucleotides) under uncultured bacterium. RNAcentral describes it as "partial 16S ribosomal RNA". It matches the Rfam family "Bacterial small subunit ribosomal RNA", at positions 524 to 776 of the family's 1533-position model. The record is from RNAcentral.